GAGGGUCUUUACCUCAGUGUGAAACAGAGGAAACACUACCUCUAUCGUUUGAUAGGCUGCCACAACCUGUCCGUUCCUCCUCUGAACUGCUCCGGGUGUCUGAGACAUUGGACAGUGGGGCUGGACGAACCUGUAAAGAGUGGCUACUGGCCAGCCACCGUGACUCACCAGACCAUCUUCACAGUGGACCUCUUCAAGUCCUUUGAAGACAUGAAGGUGUUGGCCCCAGGAUUCUCCCGUCAAGCCUUUGUGGGAAUGCUUGAUGGAAGAACUAAGCACUUUGGCAGGAGUGGAAAGAUAUGUGGUGACACAUUCCAGAAGGCAUUCUUUGAGUGGACUUUACGGCACGGCUUGAAAUAGACAAGUUUUGUGUAAGCGAUCUCCUCCAAUGUCAUGCCUGGAUAGGAUGGGAAUCACAAGCAAUAA
This is a long non-coding RNA of Oncorhynchus tshawytscha (Chinook salmon), 426 nucleotides long. The record is from Ensembl. NCBI's taxonomy places the organism in Eukaryota, Metazoa, Chordata, Actinopteri, Salmoniformes, Salmonidae.